This 172-nucleotide non-coding RNA is filed under the name uncultured Prevotella sp. Lineage: Bacteria; Pseudomonadati; Bacteroidota; Bacteroidia; Bacteroidales; Prevotellaceae. The record is from RNAcentral.
UUGAGGUUCGCGCAACUGCGAUUAAAAGGGAAUGGAGGUGCAAAUCCCCAACUGUCCCGCAGCUGUAAGUUCCUUUAUUACCCACGGGCAUUUCAGUCCACUGCUCAGGCCACAAACAGGCCGGGCGGGAAGGCGCCCGGGGUGGAACGAAGUCAGAAGACCUGCCACAACA